Mirounga angustirostris (Northern elephant seal) is the source of this 2369-nucleotide long non-coding RNA. RefSeq lists it as uncharacterized. The transcript is spliced from 3 exons. The record is from RefSeq and is a predicted model, not a curated record. Lineage: Eukaryota; Metazoa; Chordata; Mammalia; Carnivora; Phocidae.
AAAGACUUUCGCAGGCCUACUUGUGCACAGCCUGUGUGGGGCCUUCUGGAGAAGGGCUCAGCACGAGCCCACGGCAGCCCAUCCACGCCCACCAGCCUGGGCCGCAGAAGAGGGGCCCAGACGUGACCAGACGGUGAGGCAGCCACAUUCCAGACGGAUGAGGCACGCCUGGGAAGUCACAUGUCUGGCUCACCACCCCACCUGCAGGCACUCAAGCUUUACAAACCCUCGGGCCGACCUGGGGUUCGAGUCCUCCCUCUCGCUAUGUGACCACACAAAUGGCAAGUCCCUGAGUGUCAGGGACAUCACCUAUGAUAGGGGAACGGCCAGACCUGCCUCACGUGUCGCCCUGAGGAUGGAGAAGAGCGGCCGGUAGGUGCCUUGCUGUGGGCCCGGCAUCUGGCAGGUUCUCCAGGGCUGAUUACCCAGAACCCGGGCCUGCCAAGCCACAGAUAUUCAGGAAGUCACAUCAGCCCAAGCUAAACCUAGAAAGUGAACGCUCUGUUGGUGAGAACACGCGAGACCUACCCAGGGUGUGGUGUAUAUGAUGGAUACACGUGUGAACGGACUGUGCCUGCGCACACAGACAUGGACGUGUGUGCUUAUCGCGAGCGGCGUGCACAUCCGCUCCCAUGCCUGUGGACUCCCCAGUGGUCAUGCCGGCCCCAGCUGUCUGGUCCUGUGGUCGUCCUGCUGUGGCCAUCUGUCAGUUUCGACUGCUCAGCAUCCCUUCCCUGUUCUGUGGUAAUAGCACCCCUUGCCUUUGGAGUACGGCCCCCUCCUUUCCACGUCACUUGAUGAGCUGUCAGGCCUGUGCCGGGCCCUCUCCUGUUCCCCAGCAUGGAUGGGAGGUCCAGACCUACUCAGCCAUACUGCCCCAGCCUUCAGACCCCAGGGAUCAGACCUGAGCGGGAACCAUCAGAACAUCGAGCUGGGAUUUUCCAUACAGAUGCGGAGAGAGGCCAGGUUCCCCCUCCUUCCCUCACCAGUUCCGUGGGCUGCGCCUAGCCCUUUCCACCCACCCCACCCCCACCUGACGUGGAGGAGGCCUGCCAGGAGGAGGUGAGCAUGUGGUCGGCACCUAGAGCUAGGUGGUGGGGAAGGGCUCGGUGAGACUGCUUGAGUGCCGGAAACCAGCGACAUACGGAGGCAGCCGGACCUGCCCCGCCGAGUGACACAGGACAUUCACCUGCCCUUUGGGAUUAAGUGAGACGCAGUUGGGUUUCAGCCGCUUGCUCCGAUGGGUCUGGGGGCUGUGUGUGCCUGAACUCAGUACAUGUCCUUUAGCAGUGGCCAGAGUGAGGUGGUCUCAUCACCUCUUGACCCCUCCAGGCGUAUAGAAGACCGAGUGUGCCCUGGACCAGGAGAUCAUGCCUGGAGGUAUAACCCCAGCAGAGCCAUUGAUUUAUCCUCCGGGUGGUUUGGAGUAAGCCCUGCUUCUCUGGACCUCAGCUUCCUCAUUUGUCAAGUGGAGGUUAGGACUAUAUUAUCUCAAAGGGGUCUUGUACUGAUAAUGUUCUAGAAUUCACUCCGUAUGCCGAUGUGCAGUAGGCAUGGGCCACAAGGUCUUCCACAUUCCCACUCCCGUCAGCCUCUUCCCUUCCAUCUCCCACGAUUCCCCCCACCCCCCACCUCACCCCUUGUACUCUACACACCUCUGCAGCCCUACAUUCUCAUUUACUUGUAGCUCCUGGAACAAGUCAUCUGUCCGUCCAUCUGUCCAUCCAUCCAUCCAUCCAUCCAUCCAUCCAUCCAUCCAUAUGAUCAAUCCACCCACCCAUCCAGCGAGCUCCUGAAAUGUAUCAGGCACCAUCUCUGAUGCUAUUGGGACCACAAGUCCUUGCCCUCAUGGAGCGAACAAGUGAACACAGUGUGUAGAGAACUAGGAAAGGGGAGACAUAGGAUACUAUGGCAGCAUCUAGAAGGGGGCUGUAGCUCUCACAGAGGAAGGGAUAGUUCUUUAAGGCAAGGCUCGAAGGUUGAAUAAAGAAUAGUCAUGGGAAGGAGAGGAAGAACAUUUCAGGCCAUUGGAACAGCACAAAGAGUGCUGGGGUAACAGAAACUCCUAACGGAAAGUGCGUAGUCAGCAAAAUGAUGAGAAGUGCAAUGUGUGGCCAGAGAUGGCAGGAGGCGGGCAAUCAUGCUGAUCUCUUUGCCUUUCUGUCUACUUGGCAAACUCCUAUUCAUCCUUAAAAACCCUGCUGAGAAAGUGCCCUCCUUUGACCCUGGAGUUAAUUGCUGUUUCCUCUGUACCUGGCUUAUACUCCUGUAAGUGCACCUGUUCCCCUGCCCUCUCAUGACCUCUUUCCACAUUUGUCCCUCCGCUUAAUGCUCCUUCAGGGCUUGAAGCUGUUUGUCAUUGCAGCGCC